This 467-nucleotide ribosomal RNA is filed under the name uncultured bacterium. Its description in RNAcentral is "partial 16S ribosomal RNA". It matches the Rfam family "Bacterial small subunit ribosomal RNA", at positions 28 to 507 of the family's 1533-position model. The record is from RNAcentral.
GACGAACGCUGGCGGCGUGCUUAACACAUGCAAGUCGAACGGAAAGGACUCUUACGCUUGGUACUCUUGUGUCGAACUGGCGCGUAACUCCUGAGUAACUUGCCCUUCUCCUUGUGUUAACUUCAUGACACUGCGGCUAAUACCUUAAUGCCGCAUCUCCUCCUUGGUGGGGGUCGGUCAGUUUUGGCGGUUGUGGCUGGACUUGCGGCUUAUCCGUUUGUUUGUGGGGUUGUGGCUUACCAAGGCUUUGACGGGUAGCCGGCCUGAGAGGGGGACCGGAGACAUUGGGAAUGAGAUACGGCGCAGAAUCCUAAAGGAGGAAGCAGUGGGGAAUAGUGCACAAUGGGUGGAAGGCUGAUGCAGCAAAGACGUGUGUAGGAUGACGGCAUUCGGGUUGUAAGCCGCCUUAGGUCAGGACGAAGAUUGGUGUGACGGUAGUGGGUAAAGAAGCACCGGCUAACUACGUG